Molecule: ribosomal RNA, 523 nt
Filed under: uncultured bacterium
Lineage: Bacteria
Description: bacterial SSU rRNA
Rfam family: Bacterial small subunit ribosomal RNA
Source: RNAcentral
CCAGAGAACUUUCCAGAGAUGGAUUGGUGCCUUUCGGGAACUCUGAGACAGGUGCUGCAUGGCUGUCGUCAGCUCGUGUUGUGAAAUGUUGGGUUAAGUCCCGCAACGAGCGCAACCCUUUAUCCUUUGUUGCCAGCGGUCCGGCCGGGAACUCAAAGGAGACUGCCAGUGAUAAACUGGAGGAAGGUGGGGAUGACGUCAAGUCAUCAUGGCCCUUACGAGUAGGGCUACACACGUGCUACAAUGGCGCAUACAAAGAGAAGCGACCUCGCGAGAGCAAGCGGACCUCAUAAAGUGCGUCGUAGUCCGGAUUGGAGUCUGCAACUCGACUCCAUGAAGUCGGAAUCGCUAGUAAUCGUGGAUCAGAAUGCCACGGUGAAUACGUUCCCGGGCCUUGUACACACCGCCCGUCACACCAUGGGAGUGGGUUGCAAAAGAAGUAGGUAGCUUAACCUUCGGGAGGGCGCUUACCACUUUGUGAUUCAUGACUGGGGUGAAGUCGUAACAAGGUAAGCGUAGUGCU